AAUGAUUUCACGAUAGUGGGAGCGAGUACGAGGCUCGGAGGAAUUGUGGAAUUAGUUCGAACGAUUAAUUUUCGAAAAAACGAACGUUAUUUAGGGGGUCUCAAAAAGUGACUUUUUAUACAUUGGGAAUUUGGGAAAACUUCCUUCAUGAAAGUUGUAGAGGACAUUAAACCGAGUGCGUGCAUAUGUGGUACGUAAAAAUCGGAGUUCGUAUGCGAAAGUUAUAAGCAAAAUAUGAAAGUUACUGUUUAUGGUAGAUUGGUAUAAAUUUGAAAUGUUACUGUAGCCAGGUAACUUUUCUUUCUUUUCUCUCUCCUUCCCCCGUGCUCUCUCAGUCUCUCUCUUCUGCAACUCUCUCUUUCUCUCUUCUGCAACCUCCUCUUUCACCACCUCUAGACCACCAAAUGGCGAGCUGCGAGCAUCGAUAGACUCGUCUCUUCCUCCUUAUCACGCAUGUGGGAGUUGUUUACGACGAUUUGGCCGGAAAUGUGGAGAUCGAAGCCAACAUUUUUACUGUAGCAAAUUAGUCAACGCCGAUUUCCGGCCACCUCCAGUCAUAAACCCAGGUCCAUUAGAAGCGCCUUAAGCCGCUCUUCAUGCUCGCCAAGUCUCAUAACCCAGAUCGAAGCAUGGAGGAAGAAAGCAUAAUUGGAAAAUUUCACUGUACAUCGGAGUGCUUAAUUGUUCGGCUACUUCAAGGUGAUUGACGGUUUGAGUUGGUGGACGAUUGUGGAUCGUAUUUUGAGCUGAAUUGAAGACGCAGCGGGAUUAUCGAGCGGGAAAUCCUACAGGACAGGAGAACCAGGACGGUGAUCGUGCGGUUAGAGCAAUUGUUAGAGUUUUACAGCAAUUGUAAGUUGUGAGGUGCGUUAUGCUCAUUUAGAGCUUUACAAUAUUGCUUGUGAGAGUGAAUUGUAAUAAUGAACUCGAGGUUUCGAGAUUUGGAGUUUGUGUACCGUGUGGUGAAGUUAUAUUGAGAAAAAAAAAUUCAGAAUGUUUAUUUGAUUAAAUGGUUUAAUUCAUGUUUCGGAUUUGAAUUUAUCAUUCAAAAUUCGGGGCGUGACAGUUUGGUAUCAGAGCGUAAGGUGCAUAUUUGGUGAUGUGUCAAUACCUUCCGAGUGAUGGCCCGUCUGCAGCGGAUCCCCAUCGUGUGCUCUUCGGUAUUGGCUAAGUCAUUGGGUAUGCGUGAGUGUUGGGAGUUGUUUAGGCCGCUAGGUCGUUUUAGGAACGUGAAUACCUUCCCUAUAGUAUUGACUUGGUUAAUAUGAAUUUGUAUUUGACUUAUACUGUGUUUUAGGUGUUAUACAUGUAUUAGCCAAGCAUACUAUACUCCUUAGGUGAUGGAGAUUCGAAGGGGUUGUACUUAGAACCUUACAGUUGUCUUGUAGGUUCGUAUUGGAAUAAGUUCAGUGGCCGCGAGUUACAAUCCUUGAGGAAUAGGAACCUCUUGAUUCAACUCUGUUAAGUCAACGAGGAUUGUUUUAUGGAAAUGAGGUUCUUUUGAUUGUUGAAGUGUUUGGUUGAAGGCAUGAUGUGGAUCUAUGCACGUACCUAGUGUGGAUACGAGUAUUGAUUGAUAGAAGUUUACCUUCUUAAGUUAGACGUACAUAUGUUUUUGGAUGAGAUGUACAUGUCAAAUAAUAGAUAUCUUGUUUUGUAAUGAGAUGUCCUUGUGGAGUUUGUUAGUAGGGUUGAGGUUAGGGAAGAAAUUAUUGUGGUUACUUCUUCCUUGUGCUUGUAAGUUGUU
Rosa rugosa (rugosa rose) is the source of this 1747-nucleotide long non-coding RNA. RefSeq lists it as uncharacterized. The transcript has 3 exons. The record is from RefSeq and is a predicted model, not a curated record. NCBI's taxonomy places the organism in Eukaryota, Viridiplantae, Streptophyta, Magnoliopsida, Rosales, Rosaceae.